ACCUGCGCGGAAGGACGCCUGGCCUCUAAAGUGCUUAGCAAGCUUGUCUCAGUGGAUGUUACCUGACUUUCCUAAGUCCUUGUUGAGACUUCUCCUUUAAAACCGUGUCAGGAUCCCAUGGAAAAGCUGUUGAGAAAAGCUUACUCAGGAUCCAGUUUAGAUUCAAGAGGGAAAUGUCUGCAGAACACCAGGAGAUCUGAAGCAGAUGAAGAGAUGAGAUGAGAGCCACUCCAGAGCUGUGCAAACAGCUUGGGUUGAGCCCAGAGUGUUUCCAUCCUGAUCUUCUGCAAGUCUGGACCUUGAAGGCUUCAGCUUCCAGCCUCCAUCUGCUGACCUAGGCCUAGAAUGUUUCAGCCCCUGAAACUUACUGCUAAAUAAACUCAAUCUUUCUACUUCUUUCUGAACUCUGCCUGGCUGGUUCAACUCAGCUGUUCUGGCUCAAACUCCUCUUCAAGCUGAGCAGUAAUGAACUCAACUGCUCUCCUCUGAACUGAACUGCGCACAAUGACACCCAACUGACUGCACCAAACUGAACUGAAUGUAAUUGAACUCUCUGUCCCUGCACUGCUCUUAAGUAGCCUCUUUUCCUGUCUAUUCUCGUGAGUGUUUGGCAUAUCCCAUUUCUGUCUCAUUCUCUCAAAUCUUUCUCUGAUUCUUUACUCUGUCCGUGCCUCAAUUAGAUGUUACUGUUUGUGAUUGAAGGUACGUACUCCAGCCAGAGGGGUUAAGGGUGCGUGGCAUGUCUGCAUUCCAGCCAGAUCUUAUCUUUGGAUGUGAUUCUUGCCAGAGCAGCCACGUUAUUAGAUUAAAUUCCUUUCCACCUGUCUA
Mus musculus (house mouse) is the source of this 828-nucleotide long non-coding RNA. RefSeq annotates it as predicted gene, 40614. The transcript is spliced from 2 exons. Lineage: Eukaryota; Metazoa; Chordata; Mammalia; Rodentia; Muridae. The record is from RefSeq and is marked validated.